This 1147-nucleotide long non-coding RNA is filed under the name Ficedula albicollis (Collared flycatcher). Its description in RNAcentral is "lncRNA (ENSFALG00000028242.1)". The record is from RNAcentral. Lineage: Eukaryota; Metazoa; Chordata; Aves; Passeriformes; Muscicapidae.
CGAGGAUCCCACGGCGGUGUUCUGGGGGAAGGAGCUGAGGAUGGGCCCGGGCAGGGUGACCACCACGGGCGAGGGCUGGAUCACGUAGGUGGAGUCCUGGCACUGCCGCACGCAGGGCUCGUUGCAGCUGUUGGCCAGCGGGGUGGGGCCGCAGGGUGUGGGGGCGCAGAGGUCGUAGCAGGACAUGGCUGUGGGGGGGUGAGAGAUGUCCAAGCACCCACAGAAGGUGGAGAAAAGGUCACCACUCAUCAGAUCCAGUCCCCUCCACCCUCUGCAAGCCACAAAAAGCCUUUUUUGGGGGGCGAAUGUGGAUUAAUGGAGGCUGGGAAAGGAUACUUGGAGUAUUUAUUUAGAAUUUCUAUUCCAAGCAGCUCCUGAUUGCCAUAAAACUGGGCCUUUAAAUCCGCCACCAGGAAAUCCAGGUGGGUUUGAGUUCCUGCAGCAGAUGUUGCUGCAAAAUGAAGCUGCUUUUUCUGGAAAGACAUUUCCAGUAUCCUCCAAGCCAUGUCACCUUCUGCUUUACAAGUAAAUAAAGCCUUCCCUUUGGGUAGAAAGAAAUCUUUCUAAUUUCUUUUUAAGGUAAAACAAAAAAAAAACCAACAAACCAAAACAAACAAAACAAACAAAAAAAUGAAAAUUAAAAACCAAACAAAAAAAAGGCACUUAGAAAUAUUUAUAAAGGACUAUGAACACCCAACAAUAACAACAAAAAAAUAGAAUAAAAGCAGCCAUCAAAGCGACACUUUAGCAAUUAAAACGAGGUCCAGACUCACCUGUUCCCCGGGAGAAUGAGGCAGGAGAAGUGGAUGGAAAAGGUUUCUGUCCCAAGGCUUUUAUAGCACUGUCAGAGCCCUCUCCUACUCAUGGAAUUCCAUCAUCAUCCCUCCUUUUGCAUGCAAAACCCCCCGAACCGAUCGGAUCCUGCUGGUUGCGCGUUUCGAAAUCUCCCCUUUGGAAUUGCUCCCUUUUCCUGCCCCCUUUCCCAUUCCUGAGCUUUCAUCUUCACUGCUGUGCUCCUGAUUAAUUGCUGCGGAGGCUGUGGCGACUCGACUGAAUUACAGCAUUAAUUAAGUUGCCUCCCCAGGCCAGUGGGCAUUUUAGGCUUGGUUUUAAUCAUUAAGACACUGCUCCAGGGACGUGUUGUGAU